AGAGAGUUCAAGAGUACGUGAAACCGUUUAGGGGUAAACCUGAGAAACCCGAAAGGUCGAAGGGAGAAAUUCAUUCGCGUCUCGACGCAGGCGUCGGACGGGGUCAGAGCGACGGAACGGGCGCGCGUUUUUCUUCGGAAUCGCGCGUUCGAUUUUGCGCCCUCCGUCCUUCGAACCGGCUGCGAACGCGUGCACUUUUCUCCUGGUAGGACGUCGCGAUCCGUCGGGCGUCGGUCUACGACUUGCGGCGGAGACCGUCCGUCGUUCUCACGAACGUACGGCGCGGACCCGCUCGUUCCGGCCGACUCGCUCGACGGUAAGCUCGAGGUCUGGGGUCGCUACGAUAUCUAUACCGUAGAGCGUUCGACUCGUCGCAAGCGCGUCACGUGCGUCGGCACGCGGACCCGGUGCCGCGUCCGAUCUCUGGCGACUGUUGGCGACGAAGUUCUCGGACAGACUUCCAUAAAAAAGGGGCGGGGAGGAGAAGAAGGGGGUUCGCGCUUCCUUCUCGCUCUCUCUCUGUCUCUCGAAGACCGAUCGGCGACGCUAUAGCUUUGGGUACUUUCAGGACCCGUCUUG
This 579-nucleotide ribosomal RNA is filed under the name Euwallacea perbrevis. RNAcentral describes it as "partial large subunit ribosomal RNA". Lineage: Eukaryota; Metazoa; Arthropoda; Insecta; Coleoptera; Curculionidae. The record is from RNAcentral.